UAUUUGGUUGAGAGUGUUAAAGUUUAAUGAAUAUUUUUGUUUUAUUUGGUAAUUAUUGUCCAAUCAUGAGGUAAUUAGGUUUAAAAGAUUUAUGUCGUAAAUUACUCUUUAUCUGUAUUUUUAGUUUUGUAAAUAAUCUAUACUUAGUAUUUUAUACAUGUGUCUAAAUAUUCAAUAUGAUGGAAGUUAAAGUUUAACUCCAAACCAAACAUGGCCCGAAUCAACGGACGUACACGGCCU
This 240-nucleotide long non-coding RNA is filed under the name Sorghum bicolor (sorghum). RNAcentral's name for it is "long non-coding RNA (SBIC_LNC003332)". The record is from RNAcentral. Lineage: Eukaryota; Viridiplantae; Streptophyta; Magnoliopsida; Poales; Poaceae.